Molecule: ribosomal RNA, 472 nt
Filed under: uncultured bacterium
Lineage: Bacteria
Description: bacterial SSU rRNA
Rfam family: Bacterial small subunit ribosomal RNA
Source: RNAcentral
GACGAACGCUGGCGGCGUGCUUAACACAUGCAAGUCGAACGAUGAAGCCUAGCUUGCUAGGUGGAUUAGUGGCGAACGGGUGAGUAAUACGUGAGUAACCUACCUUUAACUCUGGGAUAAGCCUGGGAAACUGGGUCUAAUACCGGAUACGACCAAUCUCCGCAUGGGGUGUUGGUGGAAAGCGUUAUGUAGUGGUUAUAGAUGGGCUCACGGCCUAUCAGCUUGUUGGUGAGGUAACGGCUCACCAAGGCGACGACGGGUAGCCGGCCUGAGAGGGUGACCGGCCACACUGGGACUGAGACACGGCCCAGACUCCUACGGGAGGCAGCAGUGGGGAAUUUUGGACAAUGGGCGCAAGCCUGAUCCAGCAAUGCCGCGUGUGUGAUGAAGGCCUUCGGGUUGUAAACCUCUGUUAGCAGGGAAGAAGAGAGAUUGACGGUACCUGCAGAAAAAGCGCCGGCUAACUACGUGC